ACCUGGUUCUGAAGAAAAAAAAAGGCAAAAUCCUCUGAAUGAGGAUCUGGGACUGGCGUCGGAGCUACAUCGAGCCUCCGUUCUCAAGCGUUCACGCGCCGUCGCCAACUCCACCACACACGGCGGUUGGGAUUCGAAAAGCUUCGCUUUUCGCGGCGAAUCUAGAAGGCGAAUCGCUAGGAUUUCCUUCGAGCAUCCAUGACUACGCGCUGAUGGGGGGUUGAUGGGAACUGAAGAGGCGUGACUCUUGGACUGAUUGCGACGCUGCGGCGCGAGGGUUUCCCAGGAAACCCUAAGUCUCCUGAUGUUUCCAGUUUGGGCUUUGUUGGGCUACUGCUUGUUGGGUUUGGGUGUAGACGGGUUUUGGGUAGUUCUGCUGGGUUAAGGGUUAAUGGGCUAUAAUAUUGGGUUGUAACAGGGUAUAAGGUUUAAACAGGCUAAUUUUGGCCCUACAGGCUGUUGUAAAUGGACUGUUUUAAAAACAUUCAUUUAUUA
Gossypium arboreum is the source of this 495-nucleotide long non-coding RNA. RefSeq lists it as uncharacterized. The record is from RefSeq and is a predicted model, not a curated record. NCBI's taxonomy places the organism in Eukaryota, Viridiplantae, Streptophyta, Magnoliopsida, Malvales, Malvaceae. The transcript has 2 exons.